AAUAAAGGUUAUGUAAUAAAAAGAAGUGAGAAAUGAAUGAGUAUUUAUUUAUUAUUAUUUGUAUGCAUAUAUUAAUCUCUGUUUCACAAGACACGAAGUGUAUCCUGUAUGCUUUGAAGAAUAGAAUUUUAACAAUGAAUGGAAUAUUAUCAUUAUCUUCUUUUUGAUAGAACCAACGCAUAUUUCGUUUAGUAUGAGAUAUUAAGUUUAUAUAUUUAAAUAUUAAAUAUUUUAUUUAUAUUGGAUUUAACAAUUAGUGUUUCUAGUGUAUUAUGUAUUUAUUGCUACUAAACGUUAACAAUUAUAAUAAAUAAUUAAAUAUUAACAGUUUUUGUUACAUAAUAAGCUUACAUCGUACAAAAUAAAUUAUAAAAUAGAUAAUUACAAUAGAUAAUACAAAUGAACCGUUGAGAAUUAAUGUUUAUGUGAACAAAACAAUUUAAUAAACAAUAAUAGGUUCUUUAAUUACACAUGUACAUAACUAUGAAUCAUAGCGGCGGCGCCUUAAGUCUAAUAUUAGACUAAUUACAGAUAACUUUUAUUAUCAAGGCAAAAUAAUAACAAUGAUGUAAUUCAUAUUUUUAACAAUCAAUAAAUACAAUUAUCUUUUCAUAUA
Molecule: long non-coding RNA, 616 nt
Organism: Apis dorsata (giant honeybee)
Lineage: Eukaryota; Metazoa; Arthropoda; Insecta; Hymenoptera; Apidae
Exons: 2
Source: RefSeq, a predicted model, not a curated record